Molecule: ribosomal RNA, 468 nt
Filed under: uncultured bacterium
Lineage: Bacteria
Description: partial 16S ribosomal RNA
Rfam family: Bacterial small subunit ribosomal RNA
Source: RNAcentral
GACGAACGCUGGCGGCGUGCUUAACACAUGCAAGUCGAACGGAAAGGCCCUGCUUUUGUGGGGUGCUCGAGUGGCGAACGGGUGAGUAACACGUGAGUAACCUGCCCUUGACUUUGGGAUAACUUCAGGAAACUGGGGCUAAUACCUGAUAGGAGCUCCUGCUGCAUGGUGGGGGUUGGAAAGUUUCGGCGGUUGGGGAUGGACUCGCGGCUUAUCAGCUUGUUGGUGGGGUAGUGGCUUACCAAGGCUUUGACGGGUAGCCGGCCUGAGAGGGUGACCGGCCACAUUGGGACUGAGAUACGGCCCAGACUCCUACGGGAGGCAGCAGUGGGGAAUAUUGCACAAGGGGCGGAAGCCUGAUGCAGCAACGCCGCGUGCGGGAUGACGGCCUUCGGGUUGUAAACCGCUUUCGCCUGUGACGAAGCGUGAGUGACGGUAAUGGGUAAAGAAGCACCGGCUAACUACGUG